GCGGCGGACGGGUGAGUAACACGUGGGUAACCUGCCCAUAAGACUGGGAUAACUUCGGGAAACCAGGGCUAAUACCGGAUAACAUUUUGAACUGCAUGGUUCGAAAUUGAAAGGCGGCUUCGGCUGUCACUUAUGGAUGGACCCGCGUCGCAUUAGCUAGUUGGUGAGGUAACGGCUCACCAAGGCAACGAUGCGUAGCCGACCUGAGAGGGUGAUCGGCCACACUGGGACUGAGACACGGCCCAGACUCCUACGGGAGGCAGCAGUAGGGAAUCUUCCGCAAUGGACGAAAGUCUGACGGAGCAACGCGCGUGAGUGAUGAAGGCUUUCGGGUCGUAAAACUCUGUUGUUAGGGAAGAACAAGUGCUAGUUGAAUAAGCUGGCACCUUGACGGUACCUAACCAGAAAGCCACGGCUAACUACGUGCCAGCAGCCGCGGUAAUACGUAGGUGGCAAGCGUUAUCCGGAAUUAUUGGGCGUAAAGCGCGCGCAGGUGGUU
This 499-nucleotide ribosomal RNA is filed under the name Bacillus cereus. RNAcentral's name for it is "bacterial SSU rRNA". It matches the Rfam family "Bacterial small subunit ribosomal RNA", at positions 95 to 580 of the family's 1533-position model. The record is from RNAcentral. Lineage: Bacteria; Bacillati; Bacillota; Bacilli; Caryophanales; Bacillaceae.